Molecule: long non-coding RNA, 320 nt
Filed under: Dasypus novemcinctus (nine-banded armadillo)
Lineage: Eukaryota; Metazoa; Chordata; Mammalia; Cingulata; Dasypodidae
Description: lncRNA (ENSDNOG00000050880.1)
Source: RNAcentral
AAAAAUUUUUAUCCAUCCAUUUGAUUUUAAACAUGCUUUUUUUUUUUCAUACAGCCGGACAGAGAGGAAGUUCAAUUUUGAAUCAGAUUACAAAAUCAUCUGGAGCUGUAACAGUGAAAAGUAUAUCAGGGAAGAAAGAGAGAGAACAAGCCAGUUGCCAUUUGGGAGUAUGUUCAACCAAAAUCCUUCCGGAAGAAUUGUUGGGGUUCCUGGGGGGAUGAGGCCAAAUGACACCUGAGGGGAGGGGUAAGCUGGGCCCUUAAUUCUACCUCUGCGUCUGGACCAACAGAAAGUGGUAAGAAGGACAAGGACCUCAUGCA